Non-coding RNA from Mus caroli (Ryukyu mouse), 767 nucleotides. The record is from RefSeq and is a predicted model, not a curated record. NCBI's taxonomy places the organism in Eukaryota, Metazoa, Chordata, Mammalia, Rodentia, Muridae.
CUCCACAAAUCAAUCUAUUCCAUUGUCCUCUGGAGUACUGCGACCUCAGGCCACAAUUGUAAGGUGUAUUGGAAAGUUUGGAGCUGUAUUCAUAGCUCUGGCAAGACAGGCAGGAGAUGCUUUAAUUAAAGUAAGAGCAACAAUGGGAAAGUAUUUUGGAAAAGAGCCAGGGAGCCUGAUACAGAAGUGAGGGUGUGGCAAGAAUUAUCUAAGAAGAUUCUCCAAUCACAGGCUUGUCUUUGAAAAGUCGGCAACUUUUUCCAAAGAGCUGAUUAUUUCAUCCACAGCCCACAUCAGGAAGAGACCCCAGACCAAAUAAAUUCCCUAUACUUGCAUAAGGACAAACCCAUGAAAGGAGGAUGGGGCUCAAGGGGGAACAGAUGGGUUCUAAUUACUGCCUGAAGCUGUUUGGUAAGAUCUUUUUGACAUAGACUUUAUUAUUUUUUUUAAGUCUCUUAUCUGUGGAACCAGCUGAGUUUUUUGAAAUGUCACUUCCUCUUGGCAUCUCCAAGGAGAACUAAAGCUGAGUUUACUGACUGUCCAAACACAACUGAAGUGGAGAAUGUAGGAAAGACACUGGGUGACUUGGCCCCAAAAGACCUCUUUCAGUAACUUAGAGUCUGUUUCAGACACGUCCCCCUCUCAGUCACUGGAGUAAAAUGGACAGAAGCUGAACAGUCCGUGUAACUCCAAGCUUUGCACUUACAGUUUUGGAUGGUGUCCUAAGUCUUUCAAAAUGUCGGAUUCUCUAAAUAUUAAUUGACUUA